Molecule: ribosomal RNA, 998 nt
Filed under: Fukuyoa sp. HK
Lineage: Eukaryota; Dinophyceae; Gonyaulacales; Pyrocystaceae
Description: eukaryotic LSU rRNA
Rfam family: Eukaryotic large subunit ribosomal RNA
Source: RNAcentral
GUGUGAAAUUGAGCACACACACCUGCUGAAUUUAAGCAUAUAAGUAAGUGGAGGAAGUCAAACAAAAAUGGGUUCCUCCAGUAGCUGCGAGUGAAGAUGGAAUAGGGCAACUUGGAAUUUGGGGGUUUGUCCCUCUGAAAUGCAUGUCUGAAUGUGUUGCCAAUUGAGGCGCAAGUGUGAGCCUUUUCUGGGAAAAAACAGAAUCAACCAGCUUCAAUAAGGGUGACAAGCCCAGUGGGCACUUGUGGACCUCUGUUUACGGCGUAGAUUUGCAGAAUCACGCUCCUUGGAACUGGAGUGCAAAGAGGGUGGUAAAUCUCAUGCAAGGGUGAAUACAUCCAUGGGACUGAUAGAGGAAAAGUACCGCGAGGGAACUAUGAAAAGGACUUUGAAAAGAGAAUUAAAAAGAGCCUGCGCUUGCUGUAUGAAAAGCACACAGAAUAGCAAAAGGUUUUGAAAGACUGCUGCGUGGUCUUUUGAAUGGUCCAUGCUCCUUUGAAGAUGGAGUUGUUGUGGUCUGCAUGUGUGUUGUGUGUGGAGGUUCUUUGUUUACGUGCCAGUUCCAGUUGCCAGAAAUAGAUCCUGCACGUAUUGUGAUGUGUGCCUCCAAGUUUGUCAUUGUGCGUGUGAGAUGAUGUGUAAAUUGCUGAGGAUCUGGGUCCUGGUGGGGCUGUUGAAGGCUGCCCAUGCCCCUUGCUGGAGGACUGCAGAAACCCUGGUCCAACCGUCUGACUAGCCACUUCUGUGUGACCCGUCUUGAAACACGGACCAAGGAGUCUAACAAGUUUGCAAGUUGAUGAGUGUGCAGAUUGAAUGUUGAAUGAAAGUGUUAGCCCAGAUUUUUGCAUGUGCGUUCAACCAAUCGCUUGGGCAUGGUUUGAGUCUAAGCAUCUGUGUUAGGACCCGAAAGAUGGUGAACUAUGCCCGAAUAGGGCCAAGUCAGGGGAAACUCUGAUGGAGGCUUGCAGUGGUACUGACGUGCAAAUCGUUCGUCACAA